This 475-nucleotide ribosomal RNA is filed under the name Pseudomonas sp. NN018593. Its description in RNAcentral is "bacterial SSU rRNA". It matches the Rfam family "Bacterial small subunit ribosomal RNA", at positions 30 to 498 of the family's 1533-position model. Lineage: Bacteria; Pseudomonadati; Pseudomonadota; Gammaproteobacteria; Pseudomonadales; Pseudomonadaceae. The record is from RNAcentral.
AUUGAACGCUGGCGGCAGGCCUAACACAUGCAAGUCGAGCGGAUGACAGGAGCUUGCUCCUGAAUUCAGCGGCGGACGGGUGAGUAAUGCCUAGGAAUCUGCCUGGUAGUGGGGGACAACGUUUCGAAAGGAACGCUAAUACCGCAUUCGUCCUACGGGAGAAAGCAGGGGACCUUCGGGCCUUGCGCUAUCAGAUGAGCCUAGGUCGGAUUAGCUAGUUGGUGAGGUAAUGGCUCACCAAGGCGACGAUCCGUAACUGGUCUGAGAGGAUGAUCAGUCACACUGGAAAUGAGACACGGUCCANNCUCCUACGGGAGGCAGCAGUGGGGAAUAUUGGACAAUNGGAGAAAGCNUGAUCCANCCAUGCCGCGUGUGUGAAGAAGGUCUUCGGAUUGUAAAGCACUUUAAGUUGGGAGGAAGGGCAGUAAAUUAAUACUUUGCUGUUUUGACGUUACCGACAGAAUAAGCACCGGCU